Molecule: ribosomal RNA, 616 nt
Filed under: uncultured archaeon
Lineage: Archaea
Description: bacterial SSU rRNA
Rfam family: Archaeal small subunit ribosomal RNA
Source: RNAcentral
GCGAGUCAGGGGGCUUGCCGCAGGCAAGCACCGGCGGACGGCUCAGUAACACGUGGACAACCUGCCCUCGGGAGGGGGAUAACCCCGGGAAACUGGGGCUAAACCCCCAUAGGAGAUGGAUACUGGAAGGUUCCAUCUCCGAAAGUCCGCAAGGAGCCCGAGGAUGGGUCUGCGGCGGAUUAGGUAGUUGGUGGGGUAACGGCCCACCAAGCCGAAGAUCCGUACGGGCCAUGGGAGUGGGAGCCCGGAGAUGGACCCUGAGACAAGGGUCCAGGCCCUACGGGGCGCAGCAGGCGCGAAACCUUCGCAAUGCGGGAAACCGCGACGAGGUCAGCCGGAGUGCCGAUGCUUGCAUCGGCUGUCGGGGAGUCUAAAAAGCUCCCCAUAGCAAGGGCCGGGCAAGGCCGGUGGCAGCCGCCGCGGUAAUACCGGCGGCCCGAGUGGCGGUCACUAUUAUUGGGCUUAAAGCGUCCGUAGCCGGGUUGGUAAGUCUCCCGGGAAAUCUGGCCGCUUAACGGUCAGAAUUCCGGGAGAUACUGCCAGCCUAGGGACCGGGAGAGGCCGAGGGUAUUCCCGGAGUAGGGGUGAAAUCCUAUAAUCCCGGGAGGACCACUUG